Molecule: ribosomal RNA, 448 nt
Filed under: uncultured bacterium
Lineage: Bacteria
Description: partial 16S ribosomal RNA
Rfam family: Bacterial small subunit ribosomal RNA
Source: RNAcentral
AACCAGACUCCUACGGGAGGCAGCAGUGGGGAAUAUUGCACAAUGGGGGAAACCCUGAUGCAGCGACGCCGCGUGAAGGAAGAAGUAUUUCGGUAUGUAAACUUCUAUCAGCAGGGAAGAAAAUGACGGUACCUGACUAAGAAGCCCCGGCUAACUACGUGCCAGCAGCCGCGGUAAUACGUAGGGGGCAAGCGUUAUCCGGAUUUACUGGGUGUAAAGGGAGCGUAGACGGCCAUGCAAGCCAGGGGUGAAAGCCCGGGGCCCAACCCCGGGACUGCUCUUGGAACUGCGCGGCUGGAGUGCAGGAGGGGCAGGCGGAAUUCCUGGUGUAGCGGUGAAAUGCGUAGAUAUCAGGAGGAACACCGGUGGCGAAGGCGGCCUGCUGGACUGCGACUGACGUUGAGGCCCGAAAGCGUGGGGAGCAAACAGGAUUAGAUACCCUCGUAGC